This 481-nucleotide ribosomal RNA is filed under the name uncultured bacterium. Its description in RNAcentral is "partial 16S ribosomal RNA". It matches the Rfam family "Bacterial small subunit ribosomal RNA", at positions 28 to 507 of the family's 1533-position model. The record is from RNAcentral.
GAUGAACGCUGGCGGCGUGCCUAACACAUGCAAGUCGAACGGAGAUUCCGGACGGAAGUUUUCGGAUGGAAGCCUGUAAUUCUUAGUGGCGGACGGGUGAGUAACGCGUGGGCAACCUGCCCUAUACAGGGGGAUAGCAGCUGGAAACGGCUGGUAAGACCGCAUAAGUCGGUUAAAUCGCAUGAUUUGAUCGGGAAAUGAGCAAUCAGGUAUAGGAUGGGCCCGCGUCCGAUUAGCCAGUUGGCAGGGUAAAAGCCUACCAAAGCGACGAUCGGUAGCCGGACUGAGAGGUCGGACGGCCACAUUGGGACUGAGACACGGCCCAAACUCCUACGGGAGGCAGCAGUGGGGGAUAUUGCACAAUGGAGGAAACUCUGAUGCAGCGACGCCGCGUGAGUGAAGAAGUAUUUCGGUAUGUAAAGCUCUAUCAGCAGGGAAGAUGAUGACGGUACCUGACUAAGAAGCCCCGGCUAACUACGUG